Molecule: ribosomal RNA, 1492 nt
Filed under: uncultured Bordetella sp.
Lineage: Bacteria; Pseudomonadati; Pseudomonadota; Betaproteobacteria; Burkholderiales; Alcaligenaceae
Description: partial 16S-23S ribosomal RNA intergenic spacer
Rfam family: Bacterial small subunit ribosomal RNA
Source: RNAcentral
GUUCGAUCAUGGCUCAGAUUGAACUGGCGGGAUGCUUUACACAUACUGCAAGUCAGACGGCGGCACGGACUUCGGUCUGGUGGCGAGUGGCGAACGGGUGAGUAAUGUAUCGGAACGAUUGCCUAGUAGCGGGGGAUAACUACGCGAAAGCGUAGCUAAUACCGCCCACGCCCUUCCAGGGAAAGCGAGGGGACCUUCGGGCCUCGCACUAUUAGGCUGGCCGAUAUCGGAUUAGCUAGUUGGUGGGGUAACAGCUCGCAAGGCGACGAUCCGUAGCUGGUUUGAGAGGACGACCAGCCACACACUGGGACUGAGACACGGCCGAACUCCUACGGGAGGCAGCGGUGGGGAUUUUGUUGGACAAUGGAAACCCUGAUCCCAGCCAUCCCGCGUGUGCGAUGAAGGCCUUCGGGUUGUAAGCCGCUUUUGGCAGGAAAGAAACGGCACGGGAUAAUACCCCCGUGCAACUGACGGUACCUGCAGAAUAAGCACCGGCUAACUACGUGCCAGCAGCAUGAUAAUACGUAGGGUACUGGCGUUAAUCGGAAUUACUGGGCGUAAAGCGUGCGCAGGCGGUUCGGAAGAAAGAUGUGAAAUCCCAGAGCUUAACUUUGGAACUGCAUUUUUAACUACCGAGCUAGAGUGUGUCAGAGGGAGGUGGAAUUCCGCGAUGUAGCAGUGAAAUGCGUAGAUAUGCGGAGGAACACCGAUGGCGAGGCAGCCUCCUGGGAUAACACUGACGCUCAUGCAAGCGUGGGGAGCAAACGGGAUUAGAUAUGCCUGGUAGUCCACGCCUAAACGAUGUCAACUAGCUGUUGGGGCCUUCGGGCCUUGGUAGCGCAACUAACGCGUGAAGUUGACCGCCUGGGGAGUACGGUCGCAAGAUUAAAACUCAAAGGAAUUGACGGGGACCCGCACGGCGGUGGAUGAUGUGGAUUAAUUCGAUGCAACGCGAAAAACCUUACCUACCCUUGACAUGUCUGGAAUCCCGAAGAGAUUUGGGAGUGCUCGCAAGAGAACCGGAACACAGGUGCUGCAUGGCUGUCGUCAGCUCGUGUCGUGAGAUGUUGGGUUAAAGUCCACGCAACGAAGGCGCAACCCUUGUCAUUAGUUGCUACGAAGGGCACUCUAUUGAGACUGCCGGUGACAAACCGGAGGAAGGUGGGGAUGACGUCAAGUCCCUCAUGGCCCAUAUGGGUAGGGCUUCACGUCAUACAAUGGUCGGGACAGAGGGUCGCCAACCCGCGAGGGAGGGGCCAAUCCCAGAAACCCGAUCGUAGUCCGGAUCGCAGUCUGCAACUCGACUGCGUGAAGUCAGAAUCGCUGGCAAUCCCCACGGAUCAGCAUGUCGCGGUAAAGGGCGCAUUCCCGGGUCUUGUACACACCGCCCGUCACACCAUGGGAGUGGGUUUUACCAAAGUAGUUAGCCUAACCGUAAGGAGGCGAUUACCACGGUAGGAUUCAUGACUGGGUGAAGUCGUAACAAAGACAG